Molecule: non-coding RNA, 180 nt
Organism: Anolis sagrei ordinatus
Lineage: Eukaryota; Metazoa; Chordata; Lepidosauria; Squamata; Anolidae
Source: RefSeq, a predicted model, not a curated record
CCGCUCGCCUCCAGAUGUCCGAACGCAGCAUCCUUAGCCGCUUGGCAAGCAAAGGGAAUGAGACUCAGACUGCCCCGGCCUUCCCACCCGGACCAUAUGCCACUCCUCCCACCUUUGGAAGCUCUUUUGGUGCCACUCCUGGUGGGGCACUGCCCACCAUGGGCGCCAACUACAGCCAAA